Non-coding RNA from Myotis lucifugus (little brown bat), 109 nucleotides. NCBI's taxonomy places the organism in Eukaryota, Metazoa, Chordata, Mammalia, Chiroptera, Vespertilionidae. The record is from Rfam.
CAAGGAGGGAAUUGGUGCUUGCUUUGGCAGCACUGGAAUGAUACGGAGAAGAUUAGCAUGGCCCCUGCACAAGGAUGACACACAAAUUUGUGAAACAUUCCUUAUUAAA